This 692-nucleotide long non-coding RNA is filed under the name Nicotiana tabacum (common tobacco). RNAcentral describes it as "long non-coding RNA (NTAB_LNC000318)". Lineage: Eukaryota; Viridiplantae; Streptophyta; Magnoliopsida; Solanales; Solanaceae. The record is from RNAcentral.
GAAAUUUCAUCGGAUUUUACUCCCAGCAUCUCUCUUCCUCUGUAUCUUCUAUGGAAUUUUCUCCGUGAGCUUUUGCUGGAUUUCUCAGUAACAACACGAGAAUUUCUCCAUCGUUCUUCUUUACUCACUGGUAUUUGAUUAAAAUUGGUCGGUGUUUAAAUUAGGGAUAUCUGUUCCACCUCACAGACUGAAACACUUCUGAAAUCUUCGAUUUUCUAUCUCUGUCAGUGUAAUUUCCUUACCAAAGAACUCAGCUUUUCUGAUCUUUAAUAACAACUUGUUUUGCAUAUCCAUAAGUGCAAUUUCUUUAUCUUUUUUGCUGAUUGUGCUAUUGCUUUCGAUGUUUUUGAAUUCGAAUUCUACUGAAAAAUUCAAAGUUUUCUAGGGCCAAAAACUGAAAUGGAAUAUCAAUAUUUUGUUUUUGGUUUUUUUUUAUAGGCUGUAUCAUUGUGAAGAAACGAUGUUUAUAGCAAGAAAAAGCUACCUGUAGCUUAAACCCCAAAGUUAACUCCUUCUCACUGUAAGACCUUCUUUGCCACCUCAUUUGUAUUCUUUAUGAUUAUUUUUAGUUGAAUAUUGUAUUUUGCUCUGUUAAUCAAAAUUUGAUUUUCUUAAUGGAUAUUAUGCGUAGUAGGGUUGUCUUCAUGUUGAUUUUUGUUUGACCUAAACCUGUGGUGCUGCUGUUGUUUACU